This is a non-coding RNA of Myodes glareolus (Bank vole), 550 nucleotides long. The record is from RefSeq and is a predicted model, not a curated record. Lineage: Eukaryota; Metazoa; Chordata; Mammalia; Rodentia; Cricetidae.
GAGAGAUUAGAGAAAAAACUUUUCCGAACUUCGGAUUCCGCCUUCAGUUGCAGACUUCAGAGUCACCGUGAUCAUGCAAGCCUUUCACAUCACGUGAGGAUCAAGGGCUCAAUUGGUUGUCGUGAGAACAAAAAUGGUGACAAGCGUAUCAAGAAAAUACUGAUCUGGUCUUUAGAAAAAAAAAAAGCUGAAGGUCUCUCCCUUCCCCCUACCGCCCGCCCCCCCCCCCCACACGCCCUGCAGUGGGCGAAGCUACAAGUUAUGAAUGUGAAACAUUUCUCAGCCAUCUAGGAUCUCGGAAGUAAAUGUAAUGGCCACAAGAGCAAAGCAGAUGUUUUAAAGAAACACCUUAUAAACCUAUCCUCAACUGAUCUCCAAUUUGUCUGCUUUCUCAAAGGGGUCAGGGGGCGGACGACUGGGGGAGGGGGCAGGGUACCUCGGAGUUCCUGCGAUUUUUGUGACCCCCCCACCCGACUUCAUGUAUUAAACAAAGAAAAACAUUUUGCUAGCUCCCAAACCCAGCCUUGUAAUAAACACACCAUUGUUACUA